Molecule: long non-coding RNA, 15570 nt
Filed under: Triticum aestivum (bread wheat)
Lineage: Eukaryota; Viridiplantae; Streptophyta; Magnoliopsida; Poales; Poaceae
Description: long non-coding RNA (TAES_LNC001623)
Source: RNAcentral
AAGAAAGCACACCAUAUACUCCUUUCUGAUAAUGAGUAUACACUGAUCGUUAUUUCCAGUGUCAUAGGUAUAUACUCUGAGAAUAGUUGUAUAUAUCUGUUUUGAAAAUAUAGUAUGUAUAUACUCCUUGCAAACUACUCCAUAUCAUUUAAGCGUUUUUACAUAAGACUGUCCGUCUAGAUACAAUAACUAAUUAGUAUUUUAAUAACUUGAAUUGCAUGGCUUGAGCUCUGUGCUGGGGUCUUCUCUUAUGUAUGAGUGCACCAUGUGCGGAUUAAAUUUUUUGGGGUCUUCUAACUCUCUGGGACAAUUUGCAUCUUUAUUUGUGCUAAUUGGCAAGGUGCAUGAAUAAUGAUUUAUCUAGGGUUUUUGCUUAAUGGAAAGGCCUUUUCAGUUAAAAAAACCCUACUGAUUUGAUCAACAGAGCAUGCCUCUGUUUUUAAAUAGCAGUAGUUCCUUUGACCUUCUCCUUAUUUAAUUGACUAUUUUGGUCUCAAGAUCCAAUAGCCUUGCUGUUAGUUAAUGCUCUAUUUAUAUUUUCUUCCAACAAAACAAAUGUAUGUUUACAGGAAAAAAGUCGCCAUUUCCAGCAAAAACAAUGGCCUGCUGUCGCCAGGUCGCAACAAAAGUUUUGGCCGGUCCCAUAAGAAAAAUAGUUCCAGCAAAAAAAGAUUGUUGUUGCGGUCACAGGUACUAUAUGGUUUCACUCUACGCCUCUGUAGUUAUUUGGCUGAAGAUGUGCAUUACUGUUGGCUGUGAUAAUACAUAUAGUAAGAUUGCAUGUUAUACCAGCUUAGCAGAACUUCACGGAAAUUUGCUAGAGGAGUUGCAACAGCCUUGAUCAAAUAUUAUUUUCAUUAUUCCUUCUUGGUUUUAGACAAUAACAGUAGAUAAUCUUCAUCGAAAUUUGCUAGAGAAGUUGCAACAGCUUUGAUCAAAUAUUAUUUUUAUUAUUCCUUCUUGGCUUUAGACAAUAAAGUAGAGAACCAAAAUCCUUCUACUGUAUGUGUACCUGUAAUAGAGAAAAGUCACUCUGUCUUUAUCAUGCCAAUAGGCCAAUGUGCCCAGAAAUUAGACAACAGGGGGAAUUAGCUAGUCACCGGCUCUGAAAGCAUAAAAAACAAUUCAGUAUUUAGGCGACUACUCAAUUUUGAAGAGCUACUUCUUCAAAAAAGAUAGAUGCGUGAGCUUUUUCUAAACUGUAGGAUAUCAUAGUCUGCUCUGCUAGCUGUAAAUUGUAGGGGAUUAGUGUAGCUUAAUGCCGUUGUUGAACUGAGUUAGCAAGUAUAUGUUGCUUUUUGUUAGGAAAGUGAAAAAGAAACUCUUUGAUGUCGGGCCUAUCCCUGUGGCAGUGACAACUUUUUAAUUUACUCACAAGCAUCAAAUAUUUUGUGAUGAGAGAAGUUGGUGAGUACCUAAUAGGUUUGAGGCGCUAUUUUCAUUUGCUAUGCUCGACAACCAUGAAAAAGUUGGGAUUGCAGCAAUCAUGCUAAAUCUAUUCAAGUGUGUUAGUUUUACGCGGACGCGGCGAUUUGGUGCCCGAGCCCAGAUGCACCCGAAAUCGUCGGCGUCUGUUCGUGGCUUGGGAUACUCAAAAUUCGCUCUGACGCAUCUGACGCGGAGUGUGGGAAAAUGGGUGUGCGGUGGAAUACGGCAGCGAACAGUAGCGCAUUCGUGGGCACAGAACGUACGGGCGUCUGAGCCGUGGCUCAGAACUUGUACUGAUCCGUCUGGGAAACAUGUCGAGGGCUUCGGGACGGGGCGGUUUGACGAGCAAUGAGAUCGAGCGCUGGUGGGAGGUACCUCACGGUAAUGGCGGGCGCGGUGGAGCAGCGCUGGAUGCCGAUGGCAUGGAGUUCCUGCUGGAGCCAGGCUACCGGUGAGUUUCCCUCUGGAUUUUCGUGCUUCGAUGGAUUCCCCGCCGCCGCCACUUAUUCUGUUGUGGUUCCCACUCAUGGAGGAGUUCGCGGACAGCUUGAAGCAGCCAAAUCCGGACACUCUAGGGUUCCUCCGUCCAUCCAUGGCCACUGGGCUGCAUCGCCGCCGACGCCGUCGCCACCGCCCCAUCGCCGUCGACCCUGACGCCACCGCUGCUCUCUAGAUCUCAGUCUCGCCGGCGCUCCUCUCUGCCUUGGGCCCCUGUACUGGACAGCUGCUCGCCGGUGUGGUCUUUCUCCUGUACUGGACAGCUGCUCGCCGGUGUCGUCUUUCUCCUGUAUUGGUCGGCGGCAUCUCGUUCUCCUGUACUGGUCGGCAGCAUCUCGUUCUCCUGUACUGGUCGUCUGCACGAGAUCUCUAGUCCGGCAGCCUCCACCAGACACCACGGGUAACUAAUCCAGUUCCCUAAUCUUCUUUUCCAUGGAUUCAUGAUCCAGAGUGUUGAUGCUUGUUGUGAAAUUCCCAAUAUUUCUAUCAUGUUGAUCUUUAAUUGUUGGAACGUGCAAGUAUACUAUCUUCUCUUGGUUCGGUCCAAAAUCAUACAAGUAGAUUUAGACAGGUUCCUGUAACAUGUCAUUUGGACAUCAAUCAUACUCCCUCCGUCCCAAAAUAAAAGAUCAUUUUUUACAUUAACAUAGUGUCAAAAAUGAACUCUUAUUUUGGGAUGGAGAGAAUACUUGUUUCUUUGUCAGUAUCGUGUUAUUAGAUUAGCACAAGUUUCUUAAUUUCCAUGCAACGUUAUUGGAUAAUUUAUCUGUUAUUAGGAGGCAAAUCAGUGCAUAAGCACUUAUCUGGGCAUCACCAACAGUAUAGAAGCCAAUACUAUUUUCUUGUGCUUUCCGCAUCACAAUACAAUAAAAAUCUGGGAUACAAUAGGUUACAUCUUGAUGUUUUCUCUAGUAAUUAGUGGACAUAUUAAUCCUAAGCAUGUCCCUAUUAAAAUUACACUUGAAAAUAAAUGAUAAAUGCAGAGGGUAAAUUGUACAAUGAAGAUCAAAUUGGCCAUGGAGUGAUCAUACUUUCAUUCAUGAAAGAAGGCAAUGUUUUCCACUUCACAUCUAGUUAGAUUUUUAUAUCGACAAGAUUCUUUGCCGUUUUUUCAUGUCUACUACGCCCUCCUUCCCAUAAUAUAAGAAUGUUUUUUUACACUAGUGUGGUGUAAAAACACUCUUAUAUUAUGAGACAGAGGGAGUAGAUGAUAUCUGUUGGUCAGCUAUAUAUGCAUGCUUUUCUUUACAGUGGCCAAGUUAUGAUAGGGAAUGUUCAGAAUUUAUGCAUACGGAAUUGUAGCAUACCUGAACUUAAGAUGGCAACGGCACUAAAGGUAAAAGAAAUUGUAAGAUUGCCCAUUUGCAAAAAACAAAAAACCAAUCAAUCAGCAUCACAACUUGCUGCUACAUGAACUUUGAGUACUACUCUGCAGUAGGAUGCCCUUUUUGUCAUCAGAGGACAUACACAUGCAUAUAUUUACAGUUGCUGCUCGUCUGGCUGUGCCAUGGCUAGUUGAUAAAAGAAAGCAUGUGCAAAAUUAACACUCAUUAGCAACCAGUAAGAAGAGAGUGCAGGUGUUGUUGUUCUAGGUCCUUCAGUUUUUUCUUCUUCCUUGGUACUGAUGAGGGGUAAUAAUGCCUUACGAUCUCACAUAUUACCUAUCUCUUAACUUUUUCUCACACAUUUCCUUGUGUUGAUCCUUGUGCUCCAUGAGUCAAUUUCUACUAGAUUAUGUAAUCUGUUUACUGCUACAUGUCUUUGUUCAGUGCUCCAUGGUUGGAUGCACUUGGUAGUAGUACUAUACUAGGCUUCAGAUCAAUCAGUUUAGGAAUUUGGUAAAAAUUGCUUUUUUUGUUAAUUUUGAUUAAUUUUACCAACCUUGAUAAAUUUUCUUUUUUGUUAAGUUUGCUACUGGUAUUUCUCUGUGUCGUCAUGGCAGUUUGAAUUGACAUAUGCACUGAAUUGAAUUUACAUUUCCAAUCUGACAUGUUCUACAUCAUGCUUCUUUACUUCAAGGCAUGUGCUACACUUCAGCCGACUCAUUCGGAGGUAUUGUUGUAUGUGAAUUGGAAAUCAGAAGUUGCGAAGCGCCAUCAAUGCUGCUUUGGAGCAUCGCCGCUACUCCUGCCAUGCCGGCGAUUUGCAACAUGGCGGAUGUUGUGGUGACAGAUGCAGCAGAGAUGCCGCGGUGCCCCUCUGCUUUUCAACAUGUCGCAUGUUGCGCCAGGGUGCGGUGGUGGUGGUAGGUGCCGCCCUCCAGGAUGCAUCACUCCUCGCAGGAAUGGCUUACAGCGGUCGUUGCCAUGGCACUGCUUUGCAGCAUCAGUGGUGGUCGUGCUGGCUGGCAGAAUCGCGGUGGGCGAUGUCUGUGUGCGGGCCCACCAGGCAUGUGGCAAUUGCACGCGGCACUUGAUUCUACAUUAAAAAUUACUCCCUCCAUCCCGAAAAACAUGUCGUAGCACCGUUUUUACAAUUUACCCCUCGUUGUUUUCCUGACCAAACCCGCGGUCCUCUCUCUCCUUCCCCACUCUUCUUCGACGCCAGCCGAUUUGGUCGCGCCCGCCCCCGCCCACGGCCCCGCUGCCUUGCUUCCCCUCCCACCGCCCCACGCUGCUCCCCCCCCUCCCCGGCACCCCAUGCCUGCGCCUCGUUUCCCUCCCCUUCGCCCGCCGCAUCGUUCCCCUCUGCUACCACCCUUCAAGGUUCAAUUUUUGGAGACCAUUGUCCGGAGUCCUUGCACUCCUUCCGCAUCUGUCCAUAGUCGACCACCUCCUCGACUUGGACCACGAAGCUCGCCCCCUCCAUGGACGCCAUUGACCUGAGCACUAGAAAGCACGGGUGCCCCUUCUCCACUCCACGGACGGCUACGCGCUCAAGGUGGAGGAGCUCAUCGUGUUCAAAAAGGUGGAGGAGCUCACCGCCGAACUCGCCGGAGUGGUGCUCGUCGUCGGCCCCGCGCAUCCGGGCCCGCCGUCGCCGCCGCCAAAGACCACCUCUUCAAGGUAUCAGACGCGCCCACCAUUCUGCCAUUUCAGUUUUCAGAGAGACCAUAUGCAGGGCAUCAGAUGCAUAUCUAAUUUUGAAUUUCUGCUCUGUUUGUCAAACCACUUUCAGCUCUGUUUACUUUCAGCUCUGUUUGUCUCUCUCAGGGGUCGCAGGACCACCCGGGCCUGGUCACCAUCUCCAUGGAGGAGAUCCUGCAGUUCGCGGCGUCCAUCGGUGGCGCCAUCAGGACACCCACGUUGUCACACCCUCGAUGCGACUAUAGCUUCCACGUGUCGAGGCACGACUUAGAGGCAUAAUCGCAUUGAAGGCAUAUGUCGCAAGUUAGGCAAUCUUCACAACAUCCCAUGAUAAUAAUAAAGGGGAGAUAACAUAGUUGGCUUACACUCGCCACGUCAAUCAAGUACAUAAAUAACAUUACAUCAUCCAAACACUCAUGGCCCAACUACGGCGCCAAAAUAAAAGAGAACCCAACAUGCGACACGGUCCCAAUCACCCCCAACUGGGCACCACUACUGAUCAUUGGGAAAGGAAACAUAGUAACGUUGAGAGUCUUCGUCGAACUCCCACUUGAGCUCAUACGCGUCUCCUGGAGCGGAAUCAUCAGGCCCUGCAUCUGGUGUAAUAGUAAUCUGUGAGCCACAGGGACUCAGCAAUCUCGCACCCUCGCGAUCAAGACUAUUUAAGCUUAUAGGUAUGGCAAGGUAAAAAUAAGUGGAACUGCAGCAAGCGACUAGCAAGUAUGGUGGCUAACUUAUUAGCAAAAGGGAGCGAGAAGAGGAGGCAAAGCGCGAGUGUGAAACUAGAGAGCAACCUGCGCAAACAUUACUCCAACACCGUGUCCACUUCCCGGACUCCGCCGAGAAGAGGCCAUCAUGGUAACACACUCAGUUGAUUCAUUUUAAUUAAUUAAGGUUCAAGUUAUCUACAACCGGACAUUAACAAAUUCCCAUUUGCCCAUAACCGCGGGCACGGCUUUCGAAAGUUCAAUCCUUGCAGGGGAGUCCCAACUUAGCCCAUGACAAGCUCUCACGGUCAACGAAGGAAUAGACCUCCUCCCAAGACGUUCCGAUCAGACUCGGUAUCUCGGUAAUUCAAGACAACUCCGACAAUGGUAAAACAAGUCCAGCAACACCGCCCGCUGUGCCGACAAAUCCCGAUAGGAGCUGCACAUAUCUCGUUCUCAGGGCACACCGGAUAAGCUAAGCGUACGGGAGCNNNNNNNNNNNNNNNNNNNNNNNNNNNNNNNNNNNNNNNNNNNNNNNNNNNNNNNNNNNNNNNNNNNNNNNNNNNNNNNNNNNNNNNNNNNNNNNNNNNNNNNNNNNNNNNNNNNNNNNNNNNNNNNNNNNNNNNNNNNNNNNNNNNNNNNNNNNNNNNNNNNNNNNNNNNNNNNNNNNNNNNNNNNNNNNNNNNNNNNNNNNNNNNNNNNNNNNNNNNNNNNNNNNNNNNNNNNNNNNNNNNNNNNNNNNNNNNNNNNNNNNNNNNNNNNNNNNNNNNNNNNNNNNNNNNNNNNAACCCAAGUUGCCAAGGGACGGCCCCGCACGGUGCUCUAGGUUGGAGCAACACUCAGAGGAGCACUGGCCCGGGGGGGGGGGUGGGUGGGUUAAAAUAAUGAUGACCCUUGAGUCUGCGAAACCCAAGGGAAAAGGCUAGGUGGCAAAUGGUAAAACCAAGGUUGGGCAUUGCUGGAGGAGUUUUAUUCAAGGCGGACUGUCAAGGGGUUCCCAUUAUAACCCAACCGCGUAAGGAACGCAAAAUCCGGGAACAUAACACCGAUAUGACGAAAACUAAGGGCGGCAAGAGUGGAACAAAACACUAGGCGAGAGGCCGAGCCUUCCACCCUUUACCAAGUAUAUAGAUGCAUUAAGAUAACAAGAUAAUAUAAUGAUAUCCCAACAAGUAAAUAAAUGUUUCAACGAGGAACGGCCUCCAAUCUUCACCUGCAACUAGCAACGCUAUAAGAGAGGCUGAGCAAAGCGGUAACAUAGCCAAUCAACGGUUUGCUAGGACAAUGGUGCGUUAGAGGUUUGCCAUGGCAAUUUGGGAGGCUUGCAAGCAAAUGGUAGGCAUUGUAGCAAUGGCAUAGCAAAAGAGCGAGCAAACUAGCAUAGCAAAGAUAGUAGUGAUUUCGAGGGUAUGAUCAUCUUGCCUGCACAGUUGUCAGAGUUGACUGGAUCCUCGAAAGCAAGCUCAACGGGCUCCUCGUUAGCAAACUUGUCUCCCGGCUCUACCCAAACAAGACAAACAAGCAACAAGGACACAAUCAACCACGUGCAAACUCAAACAACACAAUGCAAAGAUGGUAUGUUAUGCGGGAUGCGAUGCGGGAUGCAAUAUGCAAGAUAUGACAGAAAAUGCAUGAACCUGGCCUCAACUUGGAAUUCCAAGUGUGCCACUGGAAAGAUGAGAUUAAAUCGUUUGAAAACGAUAUAAAGAACGCCGGAAUCAGAGUUACGGUUUGGAAAUGGCAAGCGAUUCAAAAAUGACACCGGUUUGCGAUUUUCAGCAAGUAGGCAUCUAAAUGCAAUGAGAUGAACAUGCUACAACACCCAAACAUGACACCAAAAUACAUGACAGGGAUGCUUAUAAGAUGCUUAACAAAAGUCUAGCACUGAGCUACGGCCAAUUCAUCCAUUAACAGGUUCAAACAAGCAUGGCAAAAAUGCAAAUGACAAACAGAUCUCAAACUUAGUGAAAUUAACACUUGUCUGGAAUUUCAGAUCAGGUAGUCCUCUUCGGAGCAACAAAACUACAUGCUACAGGAUCUUAACAUGGCAAAGUAAAGCAUGGCAUGGAGCUACUCAAAGAGCUUAAUAAAAGUCCCUUAGUGACCUUGAGCCAAAAAGGACCAGAAAAUACAAUUGCAAGCAUGUGAACAUAGCAAAAACAUAAUCAAUUUUCAGACUUGGUGAAAACUGGCACAUGCUGAAAUAUAACUCAAGUAGGCAUGUUUACGAGCUCGAUGCACUCACUAUGGUGCAAGUCAGGGCAAGACAAGCAUACAACUAACAAGAAGGCAUAAAAUGCAAGCUAGACAUGGCAAGAGCAAUAGCAUAGCAUGCACGGAUCAACUACAACAUCACCGGCAAAAUUGCAAACAAGUUGACAAUCUGCCCAGAUUCACAAAGUAGCAAAAGUAGAGCUCGAUUGACUCAAGCUAGGGUGCUCCAUAAUUGCAAACAAAGACAUGUAUGGAUAGAGCACUACAAGAUUAACAAAACAUCCUUACUGAUCAUCCUCAAAAGAGGCACGGAUCACUAGGAAACAACAUGAACAUAUGGCAUCAUGAGAUAAACAGCUCUAGGACUUAGCGAAAUCACCAAGUCCCUGAAAACAGAGUUACUAAGUGCACCACUUUGCAAGCUUGCACUAGACACCACACACAUCCUAAAAAUACAUGGGUUGCACCUCUGGAAAGAUGACAAAACCCUUAACAAAACACAAGUAGAGCAUCAGGGCAUAGCAUGCACACAUUAAUCAUGGCAAAAAUGACAAAAGUGCUAAACGGAGUAGCAGAUCUGACAAUUAUCUCAAGUAGCCCUCUUCUAGCAGCAUUUCGGGCAUCAAGAUGAGCUCAAAUGAAAAUGAUGCAAUGGAAUAAAAUGAUGUACUCUCUGAGAAGAACAUUUUGAUAUGCUAUAUGCAUGAAUCGGAGCUACGGAUGCAAAGUUACGGAGCCGUGAACAUGAGCACUUGAACUAAAAUUAUCAGGGACUUAGACGAAAUUUUACCCUCCAGAUCUAGGGUUUCGGCGGGCACAGGAACCGAGGUUCGCCGGCGACGGGCAGGGCGGCGGCCGGAGGGGGAGAUGGCCGGGGCGGCCUCCACGGCGCGGGGCGCCGGCGGCCGGGGCGGCGGCGAGACGGCAGCCGCGGCGCGGGGCGGCGCCCGCGUGCUGGCGNNNNNNNNNNNNNNNNNNNNNNNNNNNNNNNNNNNNNNNNNNNNNNNNNNNNNNNNNNNNNNNNNNNNNNNNNNNNNNNNNNNNNNNNNNNNNNNNNNNNNNNNNNNNNNNNNNNNNNNNNNNNNNNNNNNNNNNNNNNNNNNNNNNNNNNNNNNNNNNNNNNNNNNNNNNNNNNNNNNNNNNNNNNNNNNNNNNNNNNNNNNNNNNNNNNNNNNNNNNNNNNNNNNNNNNNNNNNNNNNNNNNNNNNNNNNNNNNNNNNNNNNNNNNNNNNNNNNNNNNNNNNNNNNNNNNNNNNNNNNNNNNNNNNNNNNNNNNNNNNNNNNNNNNNNNNNNNNNNNNGUGCAGAUCUUGUCCGGCGGCGCGCGAGGGGAUUUUUAGGGUUUCGGAGGUAGGAGGAGAUCCGAAAAUCGGGGGGUGUUUAAAUAGGCAUAGAGGGAGCUAGGAGAGUCCAAAUGAGGUGCGGUUUUCGGCCACGCGAUCGUGAUCGAACGAUCUAGAUGAUGGAGCAGAGUUUGGUGGGUUUUGGGCCAAAUUGGAGGGGUGUUGGGCUGCAACACACACGAGGCCUUUUCGGUCCCUCGGUUAACCGUUGGAGUAUCAAACGAAGUCCAAAUGAUACGAAACUUGACAGGCGGUCUACCGGUAGUAAACCAAGGCCGCUUGGCAAGUCUCGGUCCAAUCCGGAAAUGUUUAAUCCCCACACACGAAAGAAAGCUAGAAACGACCACGGGAGGAGAACGAAGCGCCGGAAUGCAAAACGGACAACGGAGAAAAUGCUCGAAUGCAUGAGACGAACACGUAUGCAAAUGCAAUGCACAUGAUGACAUGAUAUGAGAUGCAUGACAAUGACAACAACACACGGAGACAAAACCCGAACCCGAGGAAAUAAAUAUAACUUAACACCGGAAACGACAAGAGUUGGAAUACAAACUGGGAAAGUUACAUCCGGGGUGUUACACACGUCUUCGAUCUGCUGGAGCCCAAGGAGGAGGAGGUCCUGGUGCUGGAGGAUGCACAUGGCAAGACCAAUCUCAAGGGCCUCUCCAAGGUUUACUCUGCUCUAACAAAUCAGCCUCUUUUCAAAUUACACAGAGGAUUGCAGAAAAGUUAUGUUUGUUGUGUGUAUCACAAAUUCAGUUUUAGUUUCAGUGAAGUUUCUUGUCCUUUAGGUUUAUUCUUAUCAAAAACAAAUUCAACUAACCAGCCUCUAGAGCAUGUAGUUUCCCAAUAAUCUUAUCUAGCACUUCUGUGGAUUUGUUAAUAAGCAGGCACCGCAAUUUUGUAAGAUUAACAAUACUGGAUGGUAGCUCUUUUACACCAGCUGCCCUCAAAUCCAGCAUCUGCAGAUGGUGUAGUUCCCCGAACUUUUUUGGGAUCUCAGUAAUGUGACUGGUGCCUAUAACAAGAUACCUCAGCUUGCAACCCUUGAAACUUUGAAAGUGGUUGCAUCAAAUUAGCACAAUUAAAGAGGGAUAGUGAUCUCACUUGGCCCAUGAUCUUGGUUGCUUUUAGCACAACAUGUUGCUGAUUCCUGUUUUGAAAAGAUAAUCAUUCUACCUUGCUUGAGAGAUCUGUUUGUUGUAGGCUAGGUAUCUCACUAUCAUUGAAUAUCUUGUAGUUGUUCAAACAUUCUAAAAAAUAAUGAAAUGUAAAGACUUAGUUCUGCUGGCCUGAGGAUUAUAAUCAAAGACUAGCUUAACAAUUGAUGGAACAUGCCAAUUACACAUCAGUUUAUAGUCAGGAAAAAUAUGACAUGGUCUUACUUUCACUAGAUCAUUCAUCAGAGGCAAAUGGGGUCUUCCAAAGAUUGGAUGACAUAACUAGACAAGCAUAUAGAUUAGAAAAUGCCUUGUUUGCCAAGAGAUAAUCAAUCUCGGUAGGAAUGCAACAAGCAAGUGAUAUCAACAAGCAAGUGAUCUGACCAAGCCAACAAUGAAUAGUGAACAUUGGUAGAGUUUUGCUUGAUGUUAUACUGAUGUCCCAUUUUGAAACUGAAAAUUUGCAAGAGUUUUGCUUCAUUUUUUUCUAUUCACAGUACAAGUCCAAACCUGUAUUGAUAGUACAUGUUCUAUUUUUCUAUUGUUGAUCAGAUCCAUAUUUGGAUUAUAAGUUAGCCCAAAUUCAGUUUUAAUCCAAAUUAUUCGAAUAAAUUCAAAUAUUUUAAAUUAAUUCAAAUAACUAAAAUCAAUUCAAAUAAAUCCAAAUAACCCAAAUUAAUUCAAAUGAUCCAAAUUAAUCCAGUUAAUCUAAAUAACCCAGAUAAUUCAAUUAAUCCAAAUAACCUAAAUUCCAAUAAAUUCCAAUGAGGAGUUGAUAUACAAGGAUUAGACAAGGCAUACACAAGGACAUGGCAUAAGGGCCUCUUUGUCCCCUCUUGACACAAGAUUACACAAGACAUACACAAGGAGCACCUGACUACAUGACAUAAGGGCCUCUUUGUCCCCUCUUGACUACAUUCUUUUCCUUUCUCUGGCCACUUCUUCCCUUCCCUUCCCUUUACUUUUCUUUCUUUUCCCUUUUGUUGCUACUUCUUCCCUUCCGUUUACUUUUAUUUCUUUUUCCUUCUCUAGCUAAUUCUUUCCUUUCAUUUUCUUUUUCUAUUGCAAUUUCCAUUUCUUCUAUAGUGGCCCUAGUAUCAACAACUACCUGACUGUUGCAAUAUACACUGAUUAUUUUCAUUCCAGUAUUCUGAAAGCGUUUCUUGUGCAAGUGGGGCAACUUAUAUUGAUUUCCUCCUUUGUCUUUCAUAACUUCAAACAUAACUGCUUUUAAUGUGAUAAAGCUUCUGUGCAACUUGUCGGGAUCGUAGUUCUCGAAUUUCUCUUCCACACCCUGUACCAGUUCCUGGAUGUUUGUAGGUGACCUGCAGUCGGUUAGAGACUGGAGAGAGUUAUGGAAGCAGAGGUCCAAACAAUUUAACUCAGGGCUAUUUGGGGGCUGUUGUAGCAAUCGGAUGUCAAGAUCAGUUUGUUCCACAGCUUCUCGAAAAGCUACAUCAUUGGGAAGGACAUGAGGCUUUGCGUUAUCCUGUUGGAUGAAUAUUGUUGCUCCCUCAUUAUCAUCAGGCCACUUAUCCUGAAUUGCCGGGAUAACCUUAUUGAUUAGAUAAAUCUCUGCACAUAGGCCUGGUUACUUUCACUGAUGUCAACACUUUUGUUCCCUUUGUUCUGUUCUGACUUGUUCGCUUCGCCUCAGUCUCUUCAACAAAUGCCCAAAUGCCGAUCUUCCCAUCGAAUGUUAGCUCCCCCUCAUUGUUAUAUCGAGGCCUGGCAACAACUAUUAGGAACAUUACCUUCCCAAUGCUGUGAGUGUUUGACACGGUGCGCUUUGGUUCAGGUUCUCCUGAAAGUACAUAGUAACUAUUCUUCACUCUCGUCAUGUCAAACCACUUCUCAUCGAUGUGAACCAUAUUUGUCAUUGGUUUGAACAUAGCCCGAGAAGUUGAGAUCGAAUUGUCAUCGACCAUGGACAUACAAAAUUUCAAUCUCGCAAGCUUGUUCUCUAGCUUGAGGUGAGGCUUCAUGGUGCUUGUGAUGCGGUUAAGCUCAUUCAACUGGAACCUCUUAUGUAGGGUCGAUCGGGCCACACCUAGAGACCGUGCCAGAGAUCGAAUAGUCCUUCUUUUAUUCAGUGGGAUUGUUGAGGUCCUCGCUAGAUCUAGCUCCUUUCUCUUUCGGCCGGAUCUUCCUGGCUUCUUGCUUGAGACAUCUACUUCUUUGCCAUCGGCAAUUUGCUUUUUGGCGUCUUCCCAGAUUCUUUCAACAGAUUGUACACUUAUGUCCAACAGGUUUGAGACUAGCAGCUUGUCGUUUGGUUGAACAGACCCAUCUCUGAGCUCGAUUACCAGCAAGGCGAAGUAAACACCAUGCCUCUCCUUAUCUGACAAUUCUCUUCUUUUCUCUUGAAGUAUCCAAUCCAUAACUUCAUCCUCUUCCUCUUGAGCUUCAUCCUCUUGCCCUUCAUCUUCUUGAGGCAUCCAAUUCAUAGCUUCAUCGUCUUCGUCUUGAGGCAUCAAGUCCAAAUCCAUAGCUCCAUUAUCUGCCACUUGACGUUCCUCCUCUUCAGGGAUCCAAUUCAAAUUAUUACCUUCACCGUCUUCCUCUUGAGGCAUCAAGUUCAAAUCAAUAGCUUCAUAUUCUCCCUCUUGAGGCAUCAAGUUCAAAUCCAUAGUUAUGUGUUCCUGCCAUCAAUGACAAAAGAUGAGUACACCAUGGUACCAUAACAAGAAUACACACACACAAAAUGAGUAUGCAAGUCAAACAAGAAAUGCAUUUGCACUAGUCAAACAAGAAUGCACACACACACAGAGUAGUACUCCAUAGAUAUGAUCAUGAGUAGAUAUCUACAGUUUUAACAAUGCAUUUUAACUGAAUUUUCAGAUUAUGAUCAUGAGUAGAUAUGAUCAUGAGUAGUUAUUACUGGAGCCACCAUACAAACCAUACACAUGUCUAGAUUAAACAAAAAGUAUCAUGUUCAAGCCAAAUUUUGAAGAUUGCAAAUGAUCAUGACCAUGAUCAGCAGCAAUUUUGAAACCAAAAUUCAGUAAACAAAAUUCUAUCAGUCCUGUCAUUUAAAUUCCAAUAAUUUUAAUAAAUCCAAAUAAAUCAAAUAAUUUUGAGUUGAAUAUACAGUGCAUCUAAUGUACUGUAUGUGUAUGUGCUGUCUAGAUGCCAGCCAAAAUGACAAGAUGUUAUAGUUUGCUGUCACACCAGGGAUUGAGGCCAAAUACUUUGCUCUAACUAUAAGCCAUUUUACUCUAGUUUGGGGUAUUUUUUUUAGCUGUACCACAUGAUCAACAAUACACAAACUUUCAUUACUGAAAUUUCAAAAACCUAACAAUGGAGUUUGUGACCAUUUGCUUUCAUUACUUACUUACUUUCCCUUUCCUUUUUUUUCUUUUCCUAUUGCAAUUCAAAUGUUUCUACAGAUUUGCAUUUACUGUCUGGCAUUGCAUUUGGAUAGGAAUAUUUUUAAAUCUGUUCAUUUUCUGGUUGGAAUCUUUUUUGGCAUACAGUAUAACUACACAUGAAAGAAUCAAGUGUUGUUUUACCAGCCAAUGACAUCUAUGCAAGUCAGGUUCAUUAGCCUGACAGUUCUGGAGUACUUUAUCAACAUAUCAUGCAUCUACUGAAUUAUGCAUCGAUGCUUCAUAAGUGAGCACUUUAACGUUUCUAUUGGCUCUAAUUAUGAAUCCUUGGCUAGUUUUUGGGUCUCCAACAAUAAGAACUUUGUUUUAAACAUUGUUAGUUCAACUGACUAAUGAAUCCUAAAAACUGUCAGGUUUUGGUCUGCCAUGUCCCCAUAACAGAGCAAGAUGAAGAUAAAGAGCUUUAUAAAUUCGCUGAUGGCGUUCAUCCAGAGACACCUGUUGAUAAUCAGUGGCUGAAGGAGAAGCUCUUGGAAGACCCUGAGAUACCUUUCCCUGGAGAUUCCUGACACAAGUUCAAAUUCCCUGAUCCCUAUCAGUAGGUACUUGUGCUGAAUAUGACAUAAUUACAGUACACUGGCACAGAUUCGUCCACAUCCACUCCAUUGACUGACUGAAUUAUACAGUUUACACUUGACAAUGUUUGUUCAGAUCAUAAUUGCUCUGUUGAUAUCUACUGAUUUUUAUUCAAUUAACACUAAUCAUAUUCAAUUAACAUUGUUCUUCCUGAUGAACAGGAGCAGAGCAGCAACUCCCGUACACUGAUCAUAUUCAGCAUAGGGAGCAGAGGAGGAACUCCUUAGUGCAGGAGCAGAGGAGCAACUCCCGUACCUUCUUCCUCCUGAUGAGCAGGAGCUCUGGCGGCAGCACGGGCAGACGAGCAGCAGCAGCACCGUUGGUAGGGGAGAAGCAGCCGCACGGGCACGCGGGCAGGUGAGAAGGAGUUGCACGGGCUCACGUGGAAGAUUGAGGAGGACGCGCGGGAGAUUAAGGAGGGAGCGCGUGAGCUCCUGGUCCACCGGAUCGUGGAGGCAAUUUCCGACGACGCCCGUAGGGGAUCACGGCCGGGAGGAAUUGCGGUGGCGCACGCGCGGGAGCUCGAGGAGGAUGCGCUGGAGCUUGAGGAGGAUGCGCUGGAGCUUGAGGAGGAUGCGCAGGAGCUCGAGGUGGACACCGACGAGCUCGAGGAGGACAUGGCCGGAGGUCCUGACGAUGCCCGCAGGUAAUCGAGGCGGGAGGGGAUCGCGGCGACGCAGGUCUGAGCGGGGGAGGCGGCGGAGCAGGUACUUGGCGACGGUGGCGGUGGAGCAGGUACGUGGCGAUGGCGGCGGAGCACUUCCUGAUGGGCGGCGAGUCGCGCAGCUGGGCGGCGCCGGCCCCUAUCAACGACGAAGGAAGAAGACAGGGGGUAGAGGGGCUUGUUUCAGACGAUUUUAAAACUAUGAGUUUUUUUUUUGCAAAAUCACCAAUGAACUGCGCCCGCGACAUGUUUUUCCGGACGGAGGGAGUAUAAUGCAAAUUAUGUAAGUGGGAUGUGAACCGGGAAGAGCAAUGGUUGAAUUGUUGUCAGUGGAACGGUAAUGGGUGAACUGUAAGCAGUGACGUAUUGUGAACUGGAUGUGUAUUUGAUGCAUAAUUUCUUUGAAGUUGAACUGUGUAAUGAACUGAUGUACAGGGGUUGGGUAGAAAACGAAAAUGGUUUUGGGCGGGUUGGAUUCUAAAAAAAAGGUUUGAGGUGGUGUGAUAAUGUCAUUUAUUUCUACACAUGUUUGAAUUGGAUUUGUGGGUUGUAUGCCUUGGAUUUCAAAA